RNAcentral lists this unclassified non-coding RNA (362 nucleotides) under uncultured Chloroflexota bacterium. RNAcentral describes it as "uncultured Chloroflexi bacterium contains 16S-23S intergenic spacer region". Lineage: Bacteria; Bacillati; Chloroflexota. The record is from RNAcentral.
UCCCGUUUGCUACGGGCAGUCUCGCUAGAGAAAUACAACUAGCGACAAGGGUUGCGCUCGUUGCGGGACUUAACCCAACACCUCACGGCACGAGCUGACGACAGCCGUGCAUCACCUCGCACAGUGCCCCGAAGGGAGACCGGCUUUCACCGGCUGUCACUGCACGUUCAAGCCCAGGUAAGGUUCUUCGCGUUGCAUCGAAUUAAACCACACGCUCCGCUGCUUGUGCAGGCCCCCGUCAAUUUCUUUGAGUUUUAAUCUUGCGACCGUACUCCCCAGGCGGAUAACUUAAUGCGUUAGCUGCGCCACCAAAACCCUAAGGGCCCUGACAGCUAGUUAUCAUCGUUUACGGCGUGGACUAC